GGAAGUAAAAGCCGUAACAAGGUCUCCGUUGGUGAACCAGGGGAGGGAUCAUUACCAGAGUUUUACAACUCCCAACCCUUCUAUGAACCUACCUAUCGUUGCUUCGGCGGACUCGCCCCAGCGUCCGGACGGCCCCGCGCCGGCCCGCGACCUGGACCCAGGCGGCCGCCGGAGACCACACAAUCCUGUAUCCAUCAGUCUCUCUGAAUCCGCCGCAAGGCAAAACAAACGAAUCAAAACUUUCAACAAUGGAUCUCUUGGUUCUG
This 266-nucleotide unclassified non-coding RNA is filed under the name plant metagenome. RNAcentral's name for it is "partial contains small subunit ribosomal RNA, internal transcribed spacer 1, and 5.8S ribosomal RNA". The stretch from base 1 to 54 matches the Rfam family "Eukaryotic small subunit ribosomal RNA", at positions 1778 to 1831 of the family's 1831-position model. The record is from RNAcentral.